GGCAGAGAAGAUGUAUGAAAAGAGUAUAUAGAAAGUAGCCAUUGUAAACUCAUAAUACAGGGAGUUUCAUAUAUUUCUUUAUGUUAUCUUUGUUCUAGUUGGUUCUUUUCAGUGAAUUUGUGCAUUACAGUUCUUUUUAUUUACAUAAUAUUGUAUAUAGUACAACAUAUGCCAGAGAUCAAAUAAUCUUGAUAAAUUCAUUUAACUCUAGGGCCUUGUUCAUGUUUUAAAUUUACUUAAUAAAUAUAAAAUAUUGUAUGUUCUUAACUUGAAGCUCAUAUUUUCAAGUAAUUCCUUGUCUGGAAUUUUCUGUUGAUCUCAUGGGUACUAAGAAACAAAAUAUUCUGUUCAUUUUCAUUUUUAAAGAAUAUCGAUAACUUGAUGACCCCAGAAGGAGUUGGCCUUACCACUGCCUUACGUGUUCUCUGUAAUGUUGCAUGCCCACCACCUCCUGUUGAAGGUCAACAGAAAGAUCUGAAAUGGAAUCUUGCCGUUAUUCAGCUUUUUUCUGCUGAAGGAAUGGACACGUUUAUUCGAGUUCUGCAAAAAUUGAACAGUAUUCUGACUCAGCCUUGGAGGCUCCAUGUCAACAUGGGGACUACCCUUCACAGAGUUACUACUAUUUCAAUGGCUCGCUGCACACUCACUCUUCUUAAAACUAUGUUAACGGAACUCCUGAGAGGUGGAUCCUUUGAGUUUAAGGACAUGCGUGUUCCUUCAGCGCUUGUUACUUUACAUAUGCUCCUGUGCUCUAUCCCCCUCUCAGGUCGUUUGGAUAGUGAUGAACAGAAAAUUCAGAAUGAUAUCAUUGAUAUUUUACUGACUUUUACACAAGGAGUUAAUGAAAAACUCACAAUCUCAGAAGAGACUCUGGCCAAUAAUACUUGGUCUUUAAUGUUAAAAGAAGUUCUUUCUUCAAUCUUGAAGGUUCCUGAAGGAUUUUUUUCUGGACUCAUACUCCUUUCAGAGCUGCUGCCUCUUCCAUUGCCCAUGCAAACAACUCAGGUUAUUGAGCCACAUGAUAUAUCAGUGGCACUCAACACCCGAAAACUGUGGAGCAUGCACCUUCAUGUUCAAGCAAAGUUGCUCCAAGAAAUAGUUCGCUCUUUCUCUGGCACAACCUGCCAGCCCAUUCAACAUAUGUUACGGCGUAUUUGUGUUCAAUUGUGUGACCUUGCCUCACCAACUGCACUUCUGAUUAUGAGAACUGUGUUGGAUUUGAUUGUAGAAGACUUGCAAAGCACUUCAGAAGAUAAAGAAAAACAGUAUACUAGCCAAACCACCAGGUUGCUUGCUCUUCUUGAUGCUCUGGCUUCACACAAAGCUUGUAAAUUAGCUAUUUUGCAUCUAAUUAAUGGAACUAUUAAAGGUGAUGAAAGAUAUGCAGAGAUAUUCCAGGAUCUUUUAGCUUUGGUGCGGUCUCCUGGAGACAGUGUUAUUCGCCAACAGUGUGUUGAAUAUGUCACAUCCAUUUUGCAGUCUCUCUGUGAUCAGGACAUUGCACUUAUCUUACCAAGCUCUUCUGAAGGUUCUAUUUCUGAACUGGAGCAGCUCUCCAAUUCUCUACCAAAUAAAGAAUUGAUGACCUCAAUCUGUGACUGUCUGUUGGCUACGCUAGCUAACUCUGAGAGCAGUUACAACUGUUUACUGACAUGUGUCAGAACAAUGAUGUUUCUUGCAGAGCAUGAUUAUGGAUUAUUUCAUUUAAAAAGUUCUUUAAGGAAAAACAGUAGUGCUCUGCAUAGUUUACUGAAACGAGUGGUCAGCACAUUUAGUAAGGACACAGGAGAGCUUGCAUCUUCAUUUUUAGAAUUUAUGAGACAAAUUCUUAACUCUGACACAAUUGUAAGUAUGUGUGUGUUUGUGUAUAUUUGUAUGUAUGUGUUUGGUGUUUCUUAAAUUUGAAAUCUUUGGCCAAGUACGGUGGCUCACAUCUGUAAUCUCAGCACUUUGGUGGGCUGAGGUGGGAGGAUCUCUUGGGGCCAGGAGUUUGAGACCAGCCUGGGCAAAAUAGUGAGACCCUGUCUCGAAAAAAAGAGAAAUACUUUGCCGUAAGUUAAAUCACUUUAUAUAUUAAAUAUCCAACAUAAAAAAGAUCACUUUAGUUCAUUUUAUUUUAUUUUAUUUUAUUUUAGAUAGAGUCUCACUCUGUCAUCCAGACUGGAGUGCGGUAGCACGAUCUCGGCUCACUGCAACCUCCACAUACUGGGUUCAAGUGAUUCUCCUGCCUCAGUCUCCUGAGUAGCUGGGAUUACAGGCACCUGCUGCCAUGCCCAGCUAAUUUUUUGUACCUUUUUAGUAGAGAUGGGAUUUCACCAUGUUGGCCAGGCUGGUCUUGAACUCCUGAUCUUAGGUGAUCUGCCCACCUCGGCCUCCCAAAGUGCUGGGAUUACAGGCAUGAGCUACCGCACCUGGCCAAGUGCCUUCAUUUCAAAAUAAUUCUUAGAUGAGUGUGGUGGCACGUGCCUCUAAUCCCAUCACUUUGGGAGGCUGUGGUAGGAUCGCUUGAGCCCAGGAGUUUGAGAUCAACCUGUACAACACAGCAAAACUCUGUCUCUAGAAACAACAAAAAUUAGCCAGAUGUGGUGUGCCCACCAGUAGUCCCAUCUAUUUGAGAGGCUAAGAUUGGAGGAUAGCUUGAGUCCAGGAGUUGGAGACUGAACUUAGCUAUGAUUGUGUCACUGCAGUCUAGUCUGGGUGACAGAGCAAGACACUGUCUCAAAAAAGAAAAAAAUUUAUGACAUUGAGUUACCUUGCUAGGGCAACUCAGAAUAAUGAAGUUUUGUUAGUCUCUUUGUUAUUUACUUAUUUUUGUUACUUAAUUUACUGAUUGUUUUGGAUGUUGUGAUUUUGGGAUAACUGUAAAGUUUAUUAUGCUUUAGUAUUUUUGGUCUAUCAUACAAAUAUGAAUUAAAGAUUAUUUUCCCCACUCUAAAAUCUUAUUGUUAAAAUUUAAUUAAGAUUUCUCUCAUUAGUGUUUUCCAAAGUCAUGGUAUAUUAUGAGCACAAUUCCAGAAGCCAUUAAUAUGCCUGCCUUACUUAGUUUGGUGGCAUGUGCCUCUAGUCCCAGCUGCUCAGGAGGCAGAGUUGGGGAAAUCACUUGAACCUAUGAGUUCAAGGUUGCAGUGAGCUAUGAUCGUGCCAGUGUAUUUCAGCUUGGAUGAAAGAGUGAGGCUCUCUUUCUCUCCCUGUUUUUUUCCUGAGACGAGGUCUCACUCUGGUGCCCAGGCUGGAGUACAGUGGUGUGAUCAUGGCUCACUGCAGCCUUGACUUCCUUAGGCUUAGGUGAUCCUUCCACCUAAACCUCCUGAGUAGCUGGGACUAUAGAUGUGCACCAUCACACCCGGCUAAUUUUUGUAUUUUUAGUAGAGAUGGGAUUUUGCCAUGUUGCCCAGGCUGGUCUUGAACUCCUGGGCUCAAGCAAUCCACCUGUCUCCGUCUCCAAAAGUGCUGGGAUUACAGGCAUGAGCCACCAUGCCUGGCCAACUCGUCUCUUAAAAUAAGAAAAAUAGGCCGGGCAUGGUGGCUCACUCCUGUAAUCCUAGCACUUUGGGAGGCCAAGGUGGGUGGAUCACUCGAGGUCAGGAGUUCGAAACCAGCCUGGCCAACAUGGUGAAACCUCGUCUCUACUAAAAAUACAAAAAAUUAGCUGGGCUUGGUGGUGGAUGCCUGUAUCCCAGUGCUUGAACCCCGGAGGCAGAGGUUGCAGUGAGCUGAGAUUGUGCCAUUGCACUCCAGCCUGGGCAACAAAGUGCGACUCCAUCUCAAAAAAAAGAAAAAGAAAGAAAGAAAGAAAAACAGGUUAGGCAGGGUGGCUCACACUUGUAAUCUCAGCAUUUUGGGAGGUUGAGGUGGGAGGAUUGCUUGAGCCCAGGAUUUGAGAUUAACCUAGGUAACAUAGUGAGACCCCAUCUAUAUGAAAAAUUUUAAAUUACCUGGGCAUGGUGGCACGUGCUUGUAGUCAGUCCCAGGUACUUGGGAGGAUGAGAUGCAAGGAUCACUUGAUCCUGGGGAGGUCAAGGCUGCAGUGAGCUAUGAUUGUGCCCCUGUACUGCAGCCUGGGUGACAUAGCGAGACCCUGUCUCAACAGCAACAAAAAAACAAGGCUAAAGAUUUUAUACAAUGUUUAGGUAGGCAUACGGCCCUCUACCAUAAGUGUAUGUGACAAUAUGGAUGGUUUUCUUAUCAUGAAGCAAGAUUUAUUUUGCUAGAAGGAUUUUCUGGUAUUGAAAUGUUAUCACUCCAGAAUUCACUUUAUUAUGUAGCAUACUUUUUAAAGCAGAAAAUAUUAACUUUUCUAUGUGACAGAAUAUAGUCUUAAAUAUGAUAGUUACUGUUUUCUUUAGUUGUUUGUAUUAUCUUCAGAAAGAUAAUUUCAGGUUUCAUCAGUUCUUUGUUAUAGCAAGCAUUUUAUUAAUUCUUGAGCAUCAGUCAGUGUGUCACAUGUCCUACAACUGCCAGUGUUUUGCCAUUCGGUAUUUUGUUGAAAAGUCUUGGUGCCAGUAAAAUAUAUGUUUGCUUAUUUAAAUAUUUUGUGUGUCUUACUCAAAGAAAACAUACUUCACCUUUCAUCUAAAUCCUUCUUAAAACUAGCCAUUUGUACUGAUGUAAAAAUCAAAACAUUGAAAGAUUGCAGCAUAUGGCUUAGAUAAUAUGAAUAAGUGUGGAUGCAUCUUUGUAAAUUUCUCUGUUCUCAAAUUUAACUUAUGUGUGACAUUUACAGGGAUGCUGUGGAGAUGAUAAUGGUCUCAUGGAAGUAGAGGGAGCUCAUCCAUCACGGACGAUGAGUAUUAAUGCUGCAGAGUUAAAACAGCUUCUACAAAGCAAAGAAGAAAGUCCAGAAAAUUUGUUCCUUGAACUAGAGAAGCUUGUUUUGGUAAAAAAGAAAAAACAGAGCGUUCCUAAGGCCUAUUUUCCUCUCAGUUUGACUAGUACAAGUAUUUCGUAGUGACCUUUUUUAAAAUAGUGAAUCUUUAGCUGGGUGUUUGUACCAUUUCAAAUAACUCUUUGAAUUAAUAAUUUGAAGUGAAGUCCUCCAUCCUGUUAUGAAUUUUAAGGAGUACAUGAAGACAGUACUUUUUGAAUUGUCUGUUCCUUGGAAGCAGGGUACCCUCUGCUGCUAUUGUUUAGAAAUAAAAUGACAAGUGUUUUGGUGUUUGUUUUAUUUUAAUGUGUUUAAUGUUAAUAAUUUCUCGACAGUGUUCCAAAUUUCUUAGUAAUAAUACAUAUAGCCUUUUCUACUAAAGAGUCAGUAGGUUUACAGACAUAAGUUUUACCUGCACCUUCUUAUUCUGCCUUUAUUUGUAUCUAGGAACAUUCAAAAGAUGAUGACAAUCUGGAUUCUUUGUUGGACAGUGUAGUUGGACUUAAGCAGAUGCUGGAGUCAUCAGGUGACCCUUUACCUCUCAGUGACCAGGAUGUAGAACCAGUACUUUCAGCUCCAGAAUCUCUUCAGAAUCUGUUUAACAAUAGGUAAAGGUUGACUUAAUUGAACUCUCUGAAAAAUGCUGUAGUGACUUUGAUUUGCACUCAGAAUUAGAGCGCUCAUUUUUGUCAGAACCAUCAUCUCCAGGAAGAACCAAGACUACUAAAGGAUUCAAACUUGGGAAGCACAAGCAUGAGACCUUUAUAACGUCAAGUGGAAAAUCUGAAUACAUUGAACCUGCCAAAAGAGCUCAUGUUGUGCCACCACCAAGAGGAAGGGGCAGGGGAGGAUUUGGACAGGGUAUACGACCUCAUGAUAUUUUUCGUCAGAGAAAACAGAACACAAGUAGACCACCAUCUAUGCAUGUGGAUGACUUUGUUGCUGCUGAAAGUAAAGAAGUGGUUCCUCAAGAUGGAAUACCUCCACCAAAACGGCCACUCAAAGUAUCACAGAAGAUUUCUUCCCGUGGUGGGUUUUCAGGCAAUAGAGGAGGACGGGGUGCUUUCCACAGUCAGAAUAGGUUUUUCACACCACCUGCUUCAAAAGGAAACUACAGUCGUCGGGAAGGAACAAGAGGCUCCAGUUGGAGUGCUCAGAAUACUCCUCGAGGAAAUUACAAUGAAAGUCGUGGAGGCCAGAGCAAUUUUAACAGAGGCCCUCUUCCACCAUUACGACCCCUUAGUUCUACAGGUUACCGCCCAAGUCCUCGGGACCGUGCUUCUAGAGGUCGUGGGGGACUUGGACCUUCCUGGGCUAGUGCAAAUAGCGGCAGUGGAGGCUCAAGAGGAAAGUUUGUUAGUGGAGGCAGUGGUAGAGGUCGUCAUGUACGCUCCUUUACACGAUAAAAAUCCUUUUGGGAACAUCUUAACUGUAUAUGAACAUUUCACGAGGACAAUAAAAAUAAGACAUUGAAGGACCAAUUUAGACUUAGCAGUUAUCUGGAGACAUCUGAGAGAAUAUUUUUAUCUGAAGAAAGCAGAUUUUGUUUGAUACCUAACAAGAUUUCAAUAAAAAUCCAAACUUUGUAUGUA
RNAcentral lists this small RNA (6456 nucleotides) under Pan troglodytes (chimpanzee). Its description in RNAcentral is "retained intron". The record is from RNAcentral. Lineage: Eukaryota; Metazoa; Chordata; Mammalia; Primates; Hominidae.